Long non-coding RNA from Tigriopus californicus, 1171 nucleotides. RefSeq lists it as uncharacterized. NCBI's taxonomy places the organism in Eukaryota, Metazoa, Arthropoda, Copepoda, Harpacticoida, Harpacticidae. The transcript has 3 exons. The record is from RefSeq and is a predicted model, not a curated record.
UCCUGUCUACCAGGAUUUGUUUCCUAUUGUUCAAGUUUUUCAGCUGUCCAAGUUCAGUUGAGGUAAACAGGUGAUACAAGAUGGACGAACCGUGAAAUUUGACUUGUUUGAAUAAAAAUUACAAGUGACAAGAAUUCGUGUAAAGUUCCCAAAUAUUUUUGAUGUGAGUGGUUGCCAGAGACAUCCAAGCACUCCUUGAAUGUGAAUCAGAUGUGUUUUAUCAACUACAGAGCGAAAAAGGCGCCAACUACUACACGAUCCUGGAAUUUCAAUGUCAAUCAUCUUGAAUUACAAACAACAAUAUACGUGAAAAUUGGACUAUAUUGACUGGAAAUGAUCACCAGUAACCUGUUAAACAGGAUGGAGGGUGAAAACCGAUCCAAGGUUGAAAUUCACUCCAGGCCAAUUUGGCAUUGUCGGCAAGACUGAUUAAAGAGGUUCGAAAUUGAUAAGGCAUUCUGAAUUCCGUUUCAAUCUCUCUCACCAUUGUGCUUGAAUGUGGGCGACAUGAUUGGACCUUUAUGUAAUCGAGUGAUGUGUUUCCACCACAUGGAUGAAAAUUGCAAAUUGAGCCCCAUAUAAAGCGCCGUUAACGUAGUGGUCAUACAUCCUUGCUCAAUGGACUCGGAUCAUUGACUCGUAUCAUUGAGUUUGUCACAGGAGAGCAAUUGCUUGACAAUGAUUAUUAGUAUUAGUGGUUCUACUCAGAAUUUGAACGCACCGUCAACGAUUCAUGUUUGUACCAUAGUUGGCCUAUGUAUCUUGACUGCGAAUGAAACAUUUUGACACCCAGUAACAGCUGAAACGAAAACAUGCAAUAGCAAUAUUCUUAAAUGUUGCCGCAAAACUAUUCGGAUUAGUUAUGCGUAAUAGUCCUCUUUCCACAUUAGGGUAAUUAGUCAUGUGAAGUAAAGGAGAUUUAGGGAAAAAUGUAGUGCGGUGCCCUUUUUAUUGGAAAAAUUGUUUCAGGAGGACAUAGACAAACAUCACAGACAUCUUGCACCAUCGUCUGAUAAGGAAAAGGAAUGGUGAUAUUAAAUUCCUUAUAUAGAACAAGGAAUAAGGGAGAAAAUGUUUUUGGUCAUUCCAUUACAUUAUGUAUCAAAAAUUAUGUUGAGUUUCAAAAUAUGGGAUUGCUCCAUAAUAUAUUUUAUAUUUUCAAAAGUUUAGU